UACGGAGGGUGCGAGCGUUAUCCGGAUUCACUGGGUUUAAAGGGUGCGUAGGUGGGCAGGUAAGUCAGUGGUGAAAUCUCCGGGCUUAACUCGGAAACUGCCAUUGAUACUAUCUUUCUUGAAUACCGUGGAGGUCAGCGGAAUAUGUCAUGUAGCGGUGAAAUGCUUAGAUAUGACAUAGAACACCAAUUGCGAAGGCAGCUGGCUACACGAAUAUUGACACUGAUGCACGAAAGCGUGGGGAUCAAACAGG
RNAcentral lists this ribosomal RNA (253 nucleotides) under uncultured bacterium. Its description in RNAcentral is "partial 16S ribosomal RNA". It matches the Rfam family "Bacterial small subunit ribosomal RNA", at positions 524 to 776 of the family's 1533-position model. The record is from RNAcentral.